UUGAUUCUUCCGUUUUCAUACUGGCUGCUAUAAACGAUUCUGGGGUAUUCACUGGUAAAGGUGGUGUGUUCUCCACCACAUUGAGGUAAUGAGGUAAAAUUGUAGCUGCAUCUUGUUCACCUUUAACAUUAACAGACUGUUGUUCAGAUGACAAAAUAUCACUGCCUUUUGUCUUACUCAGUUCUUGGCUUGAAAUCUGUUCAUUUUCAGUUGCUGUUUCACUGCUCGCUUGUAAUGAUGUCUGCACAUCAACAGGUCCUUCCUCAAAUUCUAUUUCUUCGUCUUCAUUCUCAUCUUCUCCACUGCCAUAAUUAGUGAGAGCUUGGGUUUCUGCUUUUGAUAAACUUAUUGCCACUGGGCCACUUUCACUUUCUUCAUCUUCCUCUUGGUCAGAAGCAUCAGACUUGAUACUUUCAGGAACUUCAUUACCAUCAUACGUUUCUAAGCCCUGUACUGGUUUGACAGUUUCAGUCUCAUCCUUGUCUUUGUCCUCAUCGAUAUCUUCAGUAGAUGAACAAACAUCCACCUGGAGACCUUUUUUUGCCUCUUUAGCAUAAGACUGUAUCUCUUCAGUAGUUUCUAUUUUGCGUUUACACCUCUGCUUUACAGAAAUACUGUUAUUGUCCAAGUCUUGCAUGAGUUUAAAAAAGGCUAAUUCAUUAAAUAAUACUUCAGAAAUCUCCACAAGAAGAUCUUCCCCACAAUCUUUUAAUUUUCUACCAGCAAAUUUUGCCAGGGAAUCCUGUGAAGAGAAAUAAAUCUUCAGUUUCUGAGACAAGCUUUCACACUUC
RNAcentral lists this long non-coding RNA (791 nucleotides) under Gallus gallus (chicken). The record is from RNAcentral. Lineage: Eukaryota; Metazoa; Chordata; Aves; Galliformes; Phasianidae.